UGCCAGCUUGUCUCACGAAUUAACCAUC
RNAcentral lists this non-coding RNA (28 nucleotides) under Mus musculus (house mouse). The record is from RNAcentral. Lineage: Eukaryota; Metazoa; Chordata; Mammalia; Rodentia; Muridae.